RNAcentral lists this ribosomal RNA (495 nucleotides) under uncultured bacterium. RNAcentral describes it as "partial 16S ribosomal RNA". It matches the Rfam family "Bacterial small subunit ribosomal RNA", at positions 28 to 507 of the family's 1533-position model. The record is from RNAcentral.
GACGAACGCUGGCGGCGUGCCUAAUACAUGCAAGUAGAACGCUGAAGGAGGAGCUUGCUCUUCUGGAUGAGUUGCGAACGGGUGAGUAACGCGUAGGUAACCUGCCUGGUAGCGGGGGAUAACUAUUGGAAACGAUAGCUAAUACCGCAUAAGAGUAGAUGUUGCAUGACAUUUGCUUAAAAGGUGCAAUUGCAUCACUACCAGAUGGACCUGCGUUGUAUUAGCUAGUUGGUGGGGUAACGGCUCACCAAGGCGACGAUACAUAGCCGACCUGAGAGGGGGAUCGGCCAAACUGGGAAUGGGACACGGCCCGGACUCCUGCGGGAGGGAGCAGUAGGGAAUCUUCGGCAAUGGACGGAAGUCUGAACGAGGAACGCCGGGUGAGUGAAGAAGGGUUUCGGAUCGUAAAGCUCUGUUGUAAGAGAAGAACGAGUGUGAGAGUGGAAAGUUCACACUGUGACGGUAUCUUACCAGAAAGGGACGGCUAACUACGUG